RNAcentral lists this long non-coding RNA (897 nucleotides) under Ananas comosus (pineapple). Its description in RNAcentral is "long non-coding RNA (ACOM_LNC021415)". The record is from RNAcentral. Lineage: Eukaryota; Viridiplantae; Streptophyta; Magnoliopsida; Poales; Bromeliaceae.
CGAUAUCUUUGUAACGGCUUGACGGAUUGCCAAACCGUCGCUUCCAACGCGUUCAGUGACCUAUCAAUUAGGUUUAUAUACAACCAAUUUAGAUCAAACCCAUCUAUUCGCAAAAAUAGCAUUUUGAGCCCUAGAUUUGCUACUAUGCAAAAAUCCACCAUUAAACCCUUGGAUCUAAGCAUAAUCCAUCUCAUUAGCAUCUAGGAAGGCUACUAAACCCAUUUCUAAAGCAUUUAAAUCACACCCUAGAGAUCUACCAUUGAAGGGGUUAGCAAGCUUACCUCUUAAGCUAGCACAACGGAGAGGAGAAGAUGAGAAGAUGAAGCUCCACCUUGUUUGCUUCCUUCUUCACCAUCUUCUUCUUCUUCUUCCUCCUCUUCUUCUUCUCUUCUCCUCUUUCUUCUUCUCUUUCUUUUCUUUCUAGAGAGAGAGAGGGAGAGUUUUAGGGUGAGAGGGAAGAGAGAAAAGACCCUUCUCUCUCUUCUAUACACUCACAUGAGUGCAAAAUUGCAUAAAAACCCCUCAACAAUGCAUCUCUCGCAACAGCCCAAAAUGGGCAUUUUCGCGCUCGGGGACCGGUCCUUGCGGUGAGAGACCGGUCCCUGAGAGACCGGUCCUUGGCUGAGAGACCGGUCCCCGAAGGUCCAGAACUCAGCCUCAAGGACUUAGCCAAAUUUCAGCCUUUUUCACCGUUUCUUCUCCGUUUUCGCCCGUUUUCGCUCGUUUGACUUCCGAUUCGUCUCAAAUCGAACCGAGACUCUUCAAACAUGUUUCCAAACAUGUUUUCAUCAUCUUUCCAUCCUCGCUAAUGCCGGAUUUAGCUCACGGCCCAACAUGGCCUUUCGGCUCCGUUUUAGCGCCUACGCGCACCGAAACGCCCGAAUGCUUCCGGGCCUC